This 317-nucleotide long non-coding RNA is filed under the name Homo sapiens (human). RNAcentral describes it as "non-protein coding lnc-FAM120C-2:1". Lineage: Eukaryota; Metazoa; Chordata; Mammalia; Primates; Hominidae. The record is from RNAcentral.
UCCCAACUUCCUUGCCACAAGGACUCUCACUCCCUUCAUUUCCUGGGCCAUUAUCAUCAUAUGGAAUGCCUCACGUUUGUCAGUAUAAUGCUGUGGCGGGGGCGGGGUAUCCAGUACAGUGGGUAGGAAUUUCAGGAACAACACAACAAUCUGUAGUAAUUCCCGCCCAAUCUGGGGGACCAUUCCAGCCAGGGAUGAAUAUGCAGGCAUUUCCAACUUCAUCAGUGCAGAAUCCUGCCACAAUCCCUCCUGGUCCUAAAUGAAUCAGAGUAGAUGGUGAUAAAAAGGGAGGUUUUUUCAGAAUUAUUUUCAGGACA